RNAcentral lists this ribosomal RNA (253 nucleotides) under uncultured bacterium. RNAcentral's name for it is "partial 16S ribosomal RNA". It matches the Rfam family "Bacterial small subunit ribosomal RNA", at positions 524 to 776 of the family's 1533-position model. The record is from RNAcentral.
GACGAACCGAGCGAACGUUGUUCGGAAUCACUGGGCUUAAAGGGCGCGUAGGCGGGUGCUCAAGUCCGGGGUGAAAUCCUCCAGCUCAACUGGAGAACUGCCUCGGAUACUGGGUGCCUCGAGGGUGGUAGGGGUAUGCGGAACUAUCGGUGGAGCGGUGAAAUGCGUUGAUAUCGAUAGGAACUCCGGUGGCGAAGGCGGCAUACUGGACCACUUCUGACGCUGAGGCGCGAAAGCUAGGGUAGCAAACGGG